Sinocyclocheilus grahami is the source of this 116-nucleotide long non-coding RNA. RefSeq lists it as uncharacterized. NCBI's taxonomy places the organism in Eukaryota, Metazoa, Chordata, Actinopteri, Cypriniformes, Cyprinidae. The transcript is spliced from 3 exons. The record is from RefSeq and is a predicted model, not a curated record.
UUAAGAACCAUUGUUAUGCUCUGAAAGUACAAACCCAUUGAGCACAGUACAAUCAAACUUAAAUGGCCCACUUUACCUGAAUUCACCCUAUCAAGUGUGCGCAUCACCAAGCACAA